Molecule: long non-coding RNA, 2930 nt
Filed under: Mus musculus (house mouse)
Lineage: Eukaryota; Metazoa; Chordata; Mammalia; Rodentia; Muridae
Description: long non-coding RNA chrX:100073949-100076879
Source: RNAcentral
AGUUUCAGGAAGGCCAAAAAAGGCAUUAUUAUUAGAAUAGUACCAGCAACCUAUUUCUUCCAGUACACUUUUCCUUGAGUUAAAGCUGGUAAUCUUUUUAAUCUUGGUAAAUUCUUUAGGUUUCAUGUUUGAUAGCUAUAAUUCUGGAACCUCCCAAAACUACCUUAAUUAGAGGCAUGUUGGAAUGUGUUUGAAAUUUUUCUGCUGUAGUUGAGUUACUUCUGGCAGUAUUAUGUAAUCUUAAGGAUAUGCACUUUCUGCAGGGAAUCAAGCUUUCUUGCUAGCUUUUACUUAUUUUUUUAGUGUUCCAUUCUCACCCCUGGAGAGAAUAGUAAUCCAAAUAUAAACUGUCGUUAGGCUUUUGCAGAUGUUUAGAACUUUAGGUCUUGCUAACGCUAACCUUCCAAUGUUCUACCUUGUUUUUGAAGGUCAGAACUGCUGUUGCAACCAAAUUGAAAUUUCACUAAGUUAGACUCUGGCAACAGAAAGCUAAAUGAAAUAGUACAAGGUCUAGUGUUUUGUUUCUUGGUGCUUUGAAAUGCCAUUGUACAGUAGCUACAUAGUUGGCUUUCUGUGUGAUUUUUUUUCAUGAGCUGAUUUCUAGAUAUAAUUUUAUAUGGGUGAAAAGUGUUCAUCAGUCCCUGGGAGGAAUAAAGUAUUUGAUUAGUAGUGGGGCUUUUAUGCUAUCCUACAGAACUAUAGCCACAAAAACAAAGAUCAAACAACCUCAUUCCUUUGGCUCAAACUACAACCCUGCUUGAGAUGUUCCAUGACCACUGUGCUUUCCCCGUUUCUUUUAGGUCACUCAUGGCCCAAUUUGUUUUUUUAUUUUUGAAGUUUCAGAUAUAUAAUGACUUUGAGUUAUUUUCAGCCCCUCAUUAUCUUCUCUCAUCCCUCCUAGUCUUGAUGAAACCUCAGAAACCCUCCUCUUUCCGAGAAGGGCACAUCCUACUUUCUUUGGUGUUUAUUUGUCUUGUUGAGAGAUUGGUAACGUUUCAUUAUGGGUGAGGGAGAAGUUCACCAGGCCCACCUUUCCCAAGGGGAUAUUGAUUGUCAGUAGUUACUGUGGGAGAAGAUGACAUUUGCUUUAGUGGUGCAGCCAUUGAUAAACUCUAGUUCAUGCUCUAGUAAGUAACAUGGCUUCUCUUUUAAAGAGGCUUCAGUUAUAUAGCCUAGGCUGUCCUCAAACUUGUGAUCUUCAUUCCUCAUUCUCCGAGUGCUGGGUUACAGGUAUGUGCCACCCUGGGUUCAUCACUUGGUAUUUCAUAGAGAACAUCAAUUCUGGCUUCUCUGUGUGCAGAAUCUUUAUUUUCUGACUGCUUCCAUUUGUGUCUUGCAUAGAGAAUUUCUUUUGUCUGCCAAGCCAUUUUUUUCUGGUGUCAUCUUGAAAGAGCUAGAAAUUUUACCUCCUUCAUUAAACUCUACUGGCCUGACUGUCAUGGAAGAGACAGUUCCCUGAGUCAUAGAUCAUGUAAACACUUCUCCCUGUCAGUUUAUGUAGAUGUUUAGUGUUUUAUGCUGCUGUCUUGGUAUCUUUGUGGGAGAGUUAUAUUUGUUUUUUUUUUUUUUUUUUAGAUUUUUAAAAUCACAAAAUAAAGAAGUGCUUUCUGACUUUCUGGUUACUCAUUAUUAGAAGUCAGUAUUUAAUACAUUGUUCUUAGAUGGUAAUAUUGUUGGGGGAAAGUAUAUAAAUCACUUCUAUGAAAAUAUAUAACUCAUCCUGCUUAUUGAACUUGCUUAUAGGCAUCAGAAAUGAUACUUGGAUAUUCAACUUUUACAUUCUUGCUCAUACAAUAUUUACUCAUAGUGUUUUAGAAGAUUUAUUUUACUUUUCUAUAAAUCAGUCAGAUGAUACAAAGACUUGAAUUUAACACAGUAAUUUUUGUAUGCAUGAUGAUGUUGCCUUUGAAUUUAUAAGCCUUUGACUGCAGGAAACUUAAAUUUUAAUUGUUUCUUUUUUAAUUUUGAAAAUAACUUUUCAAUAGUUACCAUAAAUUUCUUUUAAAAAUCCUUACUAAACUACUUUAUUUAUUUACAUUAGAAAAUUUGCCCUGCUUUCUGCUCUACCCUGCCUGAGUUCUUCACCUCAUCUCCCCUGCCCCCACCUCUGAGAGGGUGCUCUCUCACCCACUCACCCAUUCCCACCGCACCCCCACCACCAUCCCUUUUCCCUGGGGCAUCAAGUUUCCACAGGAUUAGGCUCAUCCUCUGCCACUGAUGCCAUACAAGGCAGUCCUCUGCUAUACAUGUGCCUGGGGCCACAGACCAGCCCGUGUAUGCUCCUUGGUUUUUGGCUCACUCCCUGGGAGCUCUGAGGGGUCUGGGUUAGUUGACACUAUUGUUCUUCCUAUGGGGUUGCCAUCCCCUUCAGUUCCUUCAGUCCUUCCUCUAACUCUUCCAUAUUGGUCCUGGACCUCAAUCUAAUGGUUGGUUGUAAGUAUCUGUCUUUGUCUCAGUCAGUUGCUGAUAGAGUCUCUCAGAGAACAGCCGCGCCAGGCUCCUGUCUACAUACACAGUAUAGCUUCAGUAAUAGUGUAAGGAUUUGGUGUGCAUGCAUGGGAUGGAUCGCAAGUUGGACUAGUCACUGGAUGUCCUUUCUUUCAUUCUCUGCUCCAUUUUUGUUCUUGCAUUUCCUUUAGACAGGAACAAUUCUAGGUAAAAAAUCUGGAGAUAUGUGGGUGGCUCUCUGCCUCAACUGGGACCCAUGUCUAUUUACUGGAGGUUAACUAUCUGAACAAAAUUUUGUAGAAUACAGAUAAUACCUUCUACAAACAGAGUUCUGCCUGACUUUUCUUCUUUUUGUCAUAACCUACUCUGAGCACGAUCAAACUAGUCAUGUCCCCUGCUCACUACUGUACAAUAUUGUACCUUUGCUUCUUUCUGCUUAAAGGCACCUGAGUGUUUUCAAAGCAAAAAGGGGUCAAAUUUCC